Molecule: ribosomal RNA, 521 nt
Filed under: uncultured bacterium
Lineage: Bacteria
Description: bacterial SSU rRNA
Rfam family: Archaeal small subunit ribosomal RNA
Source: RNAcentral
AACCUCCGCAAUGUGAGAAAUCGCGACGGGGGGAUCCCAAGUGCCAUUCUUAACGGGAUGGCUUUUCAUUAGUGUAAAGAGCUUUUGGAAUAAGAGCUGGGCAAGACCGGUGCCAGCCGCCGCGGUAACACCGGCAGCUCUAGUGGUAACAAUUUUUAUUGGGCCUAAAGCGUCCGUAGCCGGUUUAAUAAGUCUCUGGUGAAAUCCUGCAGCUUAACUGUGGGAAUUGCUGGAGAUACUAUUAGACUUGAGACCGGGAGAGGUUAGAGGUACUCCCAGGGUAGAGGUGAAAUUCUGUAAUCCUGGGAGGACCGCCUGUUGCGAAGGCGUCUAACUGGAACGGUUCUGACGGUGAGGGACGAAAGUUAGGGGCGCGAACCGGAUUAGAUACCCGGGUAGUCCUAACCGUAAACGAUGCGGACUUGGUGUUGGGAUGGCUUUGAGCUGCUCCGGUGCCGAAGGGAAGCUGUUAAGUCCGCCGCCUGGGAAGUACGGUCGCAAGACUGAAACUUAAAGGAAUU